GCCUGAAAUUACAAGGAACAAUAAAUAAGUAGUAGUUAGAAAUUGCUCUACUGAUUUCUUUUCUCCUAGGAAGAUAUCAACAGGAGAAGUUUAAAUGUCGUGAAAAACUUCCAGAAAAAUGUUAUGUACUCUUCAUUGUUAGUGUACAUGGCUAAAGAAGACCAGAGGGAGGAGCAGAAGCACGUUACACAAUGUAUAUGCUUUAGCAGUGGGGACUCCUGAAGUGCAAUGGCCAUAGUAGGAGGUCUCUUUAUGCAGAAGUACAUGAAUAUCAGUUGAUACCACAGUCUUGCUUAGAAGAGGAGAAAUGUUACAUGAUGGAUACUUCCAAAUCUAAAAUCUGACUGUAAGAAAAGAAAUGUUUUCUAUGUCCUGCCUGAGAAACGUUGCGUACUUUGAAUCAUGAUUUAUCAAAAUCCUGAAUAUGUGCUCAACUUGAAGAACAGAAAUGAUCUAGCUGAAGUCAAUGGAAAGAUAAGUGCUUAUUUAACUUCUCUGCUGGACUGAGAUCAGCAAUCCCAGGACCUUUCUCAGAUGAAAGUAGAGAGAUCUGCAGUACUGAUGAAAAUUCACUAAACAAUUUGCUAGGAAUUGUGAACACUAGGUUAAAUAGGAACCACAAUAAAAGGCAUUUAGCUUUGAAAUUGUCCUUGGUUUCCACAGUUCAAGGUCUAAGCGAAGGAGACGAUAAAAAAUUUCACAGAUAUAACAAAAGUAAGUAUUGUCUCUGUUCCAGUGUAUCACAUAUAACAAAUUUCUUUUUUUGAAAGGGAAU
RNAcentral lists this long non-coding RNA (775 nucleotides) under Struthio camelus australis. RNAcentral describes it as "lncRNA (ENSSCUG00000002473.1)". Lineage: Eukaryota; Metazoa; Chordata; Aves; Struthioniformes; Struthionidae. The record is from RNAcentral.